UACGGAGGAUGCGAGCGUUAUCCGGAUUUAUUGGGUUUAAAGGGUGCGUAGGCGGCUUUUUAAGUCAGCGGUGAAAUUUUGCAGCUUAACUGUAACAGUGCCGUUGAUACUGGGGAGCUAGGAUUUGGUUGCUGUGGGUGGAAUGCGUGGUGUAGCGGUGAAAUGCUUAGAGAUCACACAGAAUAUCGAUUGCGAAGGCAGCUCACAAAGCCAAGAUUGACGCUGAGGCACGAAAGUGUGGGGAUCAAACAGGAUUA
RNAcentral lists this ribosomal RNA (257 nucleotides) under uncultured prokaryote. RNAcentral describes it as "partial 16S ribosomal RNA". It matches the Rfam family "Bacterial small subunit ribosomal RNA", at positions 524 to 780 of the family's 1533-position model. The record is from RNAcentral.